UGGAAAUUCUAUUUCUAGUGAUUGGAAUGAUGGGAAUCCAAACCCCUUUCAGAGUAACAAUUGGAGGGCAAGUCUGGCGCCAGCAGCCGCGGUAAUCCCAGCUCCAAUAGCGUAUAUUAAAGUUGUUGCAGUUAAAAGCUCGUAGUUGUAUCUGCUGGAAGCAAUCAGUCCGCCCUUUUAGUGAGGGUGUGUACUUGAUGAAUUCUGGCAUG
This 212-nucleotide ribosomal RNA is filed under the name Sarcocystis fusiformis. Its description in RNAcentral is "partial small subunit ribosomal RNA". It matches the Rfam family "Eukaryotic small subunit ribosomal RNA", at positions 487 to 700 of the family's 1831-position model. The record is from RNAcentral. Lineage: Eukaryota; Apicomplexa; Conoidasida; Eucoccidiorida; Sarcocystidae.